Molecule: ribosomal RNA, 161 nt
Filed under: Grammosciadium pterocarpum
Lineage: Eukaryota; Viridiplantae; Streptophyta; Magnoliopsida; Apiales; Apiaceae
Also listed under: 1 other name
Description: 5.8S ribosomal RNA
Rfam family: 5.8S ribosomal RNA
About the family: 5.8S ribosomal RNA (5.8S rRNA) is a component of the large subunit of the eukaryotic ribosome. It is transcribed by RNA polymerase I as part of the 45S precursor that also contains 18S and 28S rRNA.
Source: RNAcentral
ACGACUCUCGACAACGGAUAUCUUGGCUCUCGCAUCGAUGAAGAACGUAGCGAAAUGCGAUACUUGGUGUGAAUUGCAGAAUCCCGUGAACCAUUGAGUCUUUGAACGCAAGUUGCGUCCGAAACCAUUAGGUUGAGGGCACGUCUGCCUGGGUGUCACGU